Anas platyrhynchos (mallard) is the source of this 921-nucleotide non-coding RNA. The record is from RefSeq and is a predicted model, not a curated record. Lineage: Eukaryota; Metazoa; Chordata; Aves; Anseriformes; Anatidae.
UGAGAGAAGAAAUAAGUUACCCCACCAAAUAAAUGUCUAAGGAAAAAGAAUAAAUUCUGCCUAUGGGCAAAGUGUCUGGAUGGGCUUGGGGUUAGGAAGAAUACACACACACAAGGCAGAGGAAGGGUAGAGUAGAAGGCAGACAAUAGGGUGCAGGAAGGAGUGCAGCUGUAGGGAAUAAAAACACUCAGGGGAAGGUCAUAUAAGGAGGACGGGGAAUCAUCACAUGGGUGAAGUUUUCAGGAAGGUGCUAUUGUGUGGAGACUCUUGAGGAGACCUGACCUUAUAAGGAAGAAAUAAAGAAUUACUUUUCAGAAAAAAUGAAGUUGCAGUUGUGCUCCUCUCCUCCGUAACAAAGGAAAUACCAGCCAUGUGUUCUUCAGAGCUGUCAGGUACGAGAGGUCAUUGAAGUCCUGUGUGGAUGUGAGAAUCACUGUAGGCCUGAUGCAUGGAGAGUUCACACACUGCAGGAGCCCAUUUCUGCUUUCAGAAUGUGUCAUUGUUGCUUGCUAUGGCUGAGUUGACCUAAGGAUUGGUAGGAGAAUUAAGCUAUACCGCUAGAUACCCAGCUAAGCAAGGGACUACAGUGCCAUGGUAGUUUGGAAGGGUGUAUGUAUUGACUGCCCAGAUGACAGGUGAAACUGCUGCUGCUGCGGGUUUCUGUCUGACUUUUCUUGAGUAGAGAUUCAGAUGUUCCCUAACUUUACGUUUCAUUGGAGGUGUAAGCUUUGCACCUGGCUCCAGUUCAUGGAAGAUGUGAGCAUGAUGAGCUUUGGGACAUUUAUGUAUGGACUUUGUACAUUAAGAGCUCUUUAAUUGCAUUGUCCGUGUCAUUUUCUGCCAAUGCAGGAUGACUUUUCCUCUGCAUUUUUAAUGGCAAAUGGAAUAUUGUAUCUUCAUAAAUUUGUUUUCAAAGCCAAA